GGGGCUGACCGGUAUUGACAGCGGGCAGAAGUGAUUUGUAAGCAUGUAGUGCGUCGUUGGCUAGCACUUAAAUCUCGGACAACAAAAACCCAACUGGCGAAAAUAAUUACGCUCUUGCUGCUUAAUCGAAUUAUAGUAGAUUAAGCUUAAUUCCCACAAUAGUUGUGGGAACGAGAUAUCACCCAGAUGCUGUGGCUUCGAAGCUAUCUGAAUCGGUGGUACAGCUAUAUCGGAGAUAGCAUAAAAAACGCCUCGUGUUUUAUGCGAAACAAUAGAGGAUACGGAUUGAGUUGGUGGCUUUGGUCUUGCUCUUUCUCGACAAUUUAAGCGAAGAUAAACAUGUAGAAAGCUAAUUAAUUCCUCGUUUGGACGAGAGUUCGAAUCUCUCCAGCUCCACA
This 398-nucleotide transfer-messenger RNA is filed under the name uncultured Parabacteroides sp. It matches the Rfam family "transfer-messenger RNA". From Rfam's summary of the family: Bacterial tmRNA, also known as 10Sa RNA or SsrA, is named for its dual tRNA and mRNA-like properties. Its role is to liberate the mRNA from a stalled ribosome. The record is from RNAcentral. Lineage: Bacteria; Pseudomonadati; Bacteroidota; Bacteroidia; Bacteroidales; Tannerellaceae.